GGUGACUUUGCUGUCGUUCACGGUGGAGUCAGAACAUACGUUCCUGGACUACAUCAAAGGAGGAACCCAGAUUCACUUCACGGUGGCCAUUGAUUUCACUGCAUCCAAUGGUAACCCGUCCAGUCCACCUCUCUACUACA
This is a non-coding RNA of Salvelinus sp. IW2-2015, 140 nucleotides long. NCBI's taxonomy places the organism in Eukaryota, Metazoa, Chordata, Actinopteri, Salmoniformes, Salmonidae. The record is from RefSeq and is a predicted model, not a curated record.